GUGUCAAGGCGCCUAAGCGCGGUGCCUGAGCACUGGUCCAUGAACGGAGUGCUCCCCACCGCCUGCUGUGACCUCUACUGGCUGCGGCCCGCAUAGGAGUGACCCCGGGAGACCCAGAAGCCACGCAAUGUGGGCAGAAAAUGGAGCAGCCUUGCCUCAGGGAAGAAGAGUUUCUGUUGUGUGAACUGUCCGGUCAGGCAUGCUCAGCAGAAAAUAGAAUCCUCUGUGAGGCACUCAAGUGAGAAGCAGCCCGUGUGUCGCUGAGAGACUCCCAACCCGGCUUAGCCUCUCUUGCUCGAUGAACUCUACCAGCUGGCUGCGUGGGAAAGUUCUGAAGAUGGUGAUGAUGCAGGGCCACAUGGUCCCACAGGAGCGAGGCCUGUGGUGCAUGGACAACUUGUGCUGAGAAGUGGAGAGAACCCGCUGUGGCAGGAUCUGGGCCUCCCUUGAUGAGGAGGCAGUGGCCUUUGAGGAUGUGGCCGUGAAUUUCACCAUGGAGGAGUGGGCUUUGCUGAAUCCAUCCCAAAAGAAUCUCUACAGAGAUGUGAUGAGGGAAACCUUUAGCAACUUGGCUGCUAUAGGAAAAGUGUGGGAUCACCUGGAAGUUGAAGAAGAAUACAAAAUUUACUGGAGAAAUCUAAGAAAGAAAGAGGUAGUGAAAUGCUGUCAAUUUAAAGCUUGGAAUCAACAUGAAGAAAUAUUCCCUUGGACUCCAGAUGCUAAUGUGGAUGUGAAAGCAGCUGAAAGCCUUGCUCUUAGGAAGACUCUGAGUGGUCAUUUCUCACUGACUGUGCCUAUCAUUGCUCACACUGCACUGAAGCCAUAUAAAAAUUUGGGAUCUGAAGAGAAGGUGCAUAAAUGUAAUCAACAUGGAAGAAAUGCCAGUGAUUUCCAGUCCUUUCAGAAGCAUGCAAGGGCAAAGGAUAGAGAGAAACCCUGUGAACGUGAUCGAUGUGGGAAAUCCUACUCUGAUCUUACUGAAAGAACUCACCUUAGAGAGAAGGGCUUUGUAUGGAAGAAAAAUUUGAAAGCCUGCAGCACACAGAAUAAUGUUCAGAUCCAUGAAAGAAAUCACAGUGGGGAGAAACCCUAUGUAUGUAAGAAAUGUGGGAAAGCUUUCAGCACACGUGGUGCUUGUCAAAGACAUGAAAGAAUUCACACUGGGGAGAAACCCUAUGUAUGUAAUCAAUGUCAGAAAGCUUUCA
This is a non-coding RNA of Heterocephalus glaber (naked mole-rat), 1205 nucleotides long. The record is from RefSeq and is a predicted model, not a curated record. Lineage: Eukaryota; Metazoa; Chordata; Mammalia; Rodentia; Bathyergidae.